RNAcentral lists this ribosomal RNA (169 nucleotides) under uncultured bacterium. Its description in RNAcentral is "partial 16S ribosomal RNA". It matches the Rfam family "Bacterial small subunit ribosomal RNA", at positions 338 to 524 of the family's 1533-position model. The record is from RNAcentral.
CCUACGGGAGGCAGCAGUAGGGAAUUUUCCACAAUGGGCGAAAGCCUGAUGGAGCAACGCCGCGUGCAGGAUGAAUGCCUUUGGGUUGUAAACUGCUUUUAUAUGUGACGAUUAUGACGGUAGCAUAUGAAUAAGGAUCGGCUAACUCCGUGCCAGCAGCCGCGGUAAU